AGAGUUUGAUCCUGGCUCAGGACGAACGCUGGCGGCGUGCCUAACACAUGCAAGUCGAGCGGGAACCUCAGGAGGGGUAACCCUUCUGAGGGGAGAGCGGCGAACGGGUGAGUAACACGUGGGUAACCUGCCCCGGACACCGGGAUAACCCAGGGAAACCUGAGCUAAUACCGGAUACUCCGGCGCGAUCGCAUGGUCGCGCCGGGAAAGCUCCGACGGUCCGGGAUGGGCCCGCGGCCUAUCAGCUUGUUGGUGGGGUAACGGCCCACCAAGGCGACGACGGGUAGCUGGUCCGAGAGGACGGCCAGCCACACUGGGACUGAGACACGGCCCAGACUCCUACGGGAGGCAGCAGUGGGGGAUCUUGCGCUAAUGCGCGAAAGCGUGACGCAGCGACGCCGCGUGGGGGAUGAAGGCCUUCGGGUUGUAAACCCCUUUCGGCAGGGACGAAGGGAAACUGACGGUACCUGCAGAAGAAGUCCCGGCUAACUACGUGCCAGCAGCCGCGGUAAU
RNAcentral lists this ribosomal RNA (513 nucleotides) under uncultured soil bacterium. RNAcentral describes it as "bacterial SSU rRNA". It matches the Rfam family "Bacterial small subunit ribosomal RNA", at positions 8 to 524 of the family's 1533-position model. The record is from RNAcentral.